Molecule: ribosomal RNA, 732 nt
Filed under: Triticum aestivum (bread wheat)
Lineage: Eukaryota; Viridiplantae; Streptophyta; Magnoliopsida; Poales; Poaceae
Description: partial small subunit ribosomal RNA
Source: RNAcentral
AUGGAAUUGAGGUUGCCUCAUCUGCUUCAUCUUUUUAAUGUCUUUCGUGAAAAUGAUGGAAAGAAAAAUUGUGCCCAAGUGCUAGAAGAAGAAUGCAUUAGAAUGUUUGUCACUAAAUUUUUGUAUGAUGAGCAUGAUUGCAAUGUUGUUAGUAUGAAUUCCUUGAAUAUCCAUGAUGCUAAUGAUAUGCAAAGCCACAAGCUUGGGGAUGCUAUGUUUGAUGAAGAUGAUAUUUUUAGUCCCCCAAGUUUUGAUGAGAAAAUAUAUUAUGAUGAUAGCAUGCCUCCUAUUUAUGAUGAUUAUAUUGAUGAAAGUGGGUUUGAAAGAGUGUCAACUUUAGGAAGUCAUGAUCCCACUAUUUUGGAGGGUGUUGAAUCAUAUUGUGAUAAUUAUGAAAGUGGAUUUGGAGAGGUCAUGACUUUAUUUAGUGAUGAAUCCACUAUUUCGGAAGAGGUUCCAAUUGAUUAUGAGAACAAAGUUGCUAUCUAUGAUGAUUAUUGUGAUGACUUGCAUGCUAUUAAGAAUAAUGAUAACCAUAAAACUUGUCAUCAUGAUUUUAGUUUUCAAUUGGAUUAUGCCUCACAUGAUAAUUAUUUUGUUGAGUUUGCUUCCACUAUUAUUCAUGAGAAGAAAUUCACUUAUGUGGAGAGUAAUAAAAUUUAUAUGCUUGGGUAUCAUGAAAAGAAUGCUUUAUGUGAUGGUUAUUGUUGGGGAUAUGACUAUCAGAUAUGA